UGCAAGUCGAACGCUUCUUUUUCCACCGGAGCUUGCUCCACCGGAAAAAGAGGAGUGGCGAACGGGUGAGUAACACGUGGGUAACCUGCCCAUCAGAAGGGGAUAACACUUGGAAACAGGUGCUAAUACCGUAUAACAAUCAAAACCGCAUGGUUUUGAUUUGAAAGGCGCUUUCGGGUGUCGCUGAUGGAUGGACCCGCGGUGCAUUAGCUAGUUGGUGAGGUAACGGCUCACCAAGGCCACGAUGCAUAGCCGACCUGAGAGGGUGAUCGGCCACAUUGGGACUGAGACACGGCCCAAACUCCUACGGGAGGCAGCAGUAGGGAAUCUUCGGCAAUGGACGAAAGUCUGACCGAGCAACGCCGCGUGAGUGAAGAAGGUUUUCGGAUCGUAAAACUCUGUUGUUAGAGAAGAACAAGGAUGAGAGUAACUGUUCAUCCCUUGACGGUAUCUAACCAGAAAGCCACGGCUAACUACGUGCCAGCA
Molecule: ribosomal RNA, 486 nt
Filed under: Enterococcus faecium
Lineage: Bacteria; Bacillati; Bacillota; Bacilli; Lactobacillales; Enterococcaceae
Description: bacterial SSU rRNA
Rfam family: Bacterial small subunit ribosomal RNA
Source: RNAcentral